GGGGGGAAUAUUGGACAAUGGGCGAAAGCCUGAUCCAGCCAUGCCGCGUGUGUGAAGAAGGUCUUCGGAUUGUAAAGCACUUUAAGUUGGGAGGAAGGGCAGUAAGCUAAUACCUUGCUGUUUUGACGUUACCGACAGAAUAAGCACCGGCUAACUUCGUGCCAGCAGCCGCGGUAAUACGAAGGGUGCAAGCGUUAAUCGGAAUUACUGGGCGUAAAGCGUGCGUAGGUGGUUGUGUAAGUUGAAGGUGAAAUCCCCGGGCUCAACCUGGGAACUGCCUCCAAAACUGCAUGACUAGAGUACGGUAGAGGGUAGUGGAAUUUCCUGUGUAGCGGUGAAAUGCGUAGAUAUAGGAAGGAACACCAGUGGCGAAGGCGACUACCUGGACUGAUACUGACACUGAGGUGCGAAAGCGUGGGGAGCAAACAGGAUUAGAAACCCUGGUAGUCC
This 450-nucleotide ribosomal RNA is filed under the name uncultured bacterium. RNAcentral's name for it is "partial 16S ribosomal RNA". It matches the Rfam family "Bacterial small subunit ribosomal RNA", at positions 354 to 796 of the family's 1533-position model. The record is from RNAcentral.